UAGGGAAUCUUCGGCAAUGGACGAAAGUCUGACCGAGCAACGCCGCGUGAGUGAAGAAGGUUUUCGGAUCGUAAAACUCUGUUGUUAGAGAAGAACAAGGACGUUAGUAACUGAACGUCCCCUGACGGUAUCUAACCAGAAAGCCACGGCUAACUACGUGCCAGCAGCCGCGGUAAUACGUAGUUUGCAAUCGUUGUCCGUAUUUAUUGGGCGUAAAGCGAGUGCAGGCGGUUUCUUAAGUCUGAUGUGAAAGCCCCCGGCUCAACCGGGGAGGGUCAUUGGCAACUGGGAGACUUGGGUGCAGAAGAGGAGAGUGGAAUUCCAUGUGUAGCGGUGAAAUGCGUAGAUAUAUGGAGGAACACCAGUAGCGAAGGCGGCUGUCUGAUCUGUAACUGACGCUGAGGCUCGAAAGCGUGGGUGGCAAACAGA
This 429-nucleotide ribosomal RNA is filed under the name Gemmatimonadota bacterium. RNAcentral's name for it is "Gemmatimonadetes bacterium partial 16S ribosomal RNA". It matches the Rfam family "Bacterial small subunit ribosomal RNA", at positions 355 to 776 of the family's 1533-position model. Lineage: Bacteria; Pseudomonadati; Gemmatimonadota. The record is from RNAcentral.